AACGCGAAGAACCUUACCUACUCUUGACAUGUACGGAACCUCAGUGAGAGCUGAGGGUGCUCGAAAGAGAGCCGUAACACAGGUGCUGCAUGGCUGUCGUCAGCUCGUGUCGUGAGAUGUUGGGUUAAGUCCCGCAACGAGCGCAACCCUUGUCAUUAAUUGCCAUCAUUUAGUUGGGCACUUUAAUGAGACUGCCGGUGACAAACCGGAGGAAGGUGGGGAUGACGUCAAGUCCUCAUGGCCCUUAUGAGUAGGGCUUCACACGUCAUACAAUGGUCGGUACAGAGGGUCGCCAACCCGCGAGGGGGAGCCAAUCCAAGAAAGCCGAUCGUAGUCCGGAUUGCAGUCUGCAACUCGACUGCAUGAAGUCGGAAUCGCUAGUAAUCGCGGAUCAGCAUGUCGCGGUGAAUACGUUCCCGGGCCUUGUACACACCGGAGUGC
This 441-nucleotide ribosomal RNA is filed under the name uncultured bacterium. Its description in RNAcentral is "bacterial SSU rRNA". It matches the Rfam family "Bacterial small subunit ribosomal RNA", at positions 958 to 1398 of the family's 1533-position model. The record is from RNAcentral.